Molecule: long non-coding RNA, 604 nt
Organism: Ahaetulla prasina
Lineage: Eukaryota; Metazoa; Chordata; Lepidosauria; Squamata; Colubridae
Exons: 3
Source: RefSeq, a predicted model, not a curated record
AGGAGAAGGAAGAGAAGGAGAAGGAGGAGAGGGGGAGGAAAGAGAAGAGGAGAAAAGAAGGGAGAGGAGGAGGAGGAGGAGGAGGGAGGAGAAAAGGAGGAAGAGGAGGAGGAGGAGGAGGAAGAAGAGGAAGGCAAACCUAGCAGCGCCUUUGCGCGCGGCGCCCCGAGGGCAUCCUAGCUGCUUGCGCCCGGCCAGCCCUCGCCGGGGCUGCGCGCCUCCGGAGCCCGAGGGCGGCGAGCGCCAGGCUGGGCAGGUCCUGAGCCAACCGGAGCCCCUCCGCCUUCGCCUGCCGCUGCCUGCGCCUUGAUCUCAUCCGGAUCAAGAGCCGAACACGCCCCGCUUCCUUCGGGCCUAAACGAGCUACCACCAGGGAACCGUCAACUCCCCGAUCUCCGGACCUUUCGACGCGAGCUGAAAACUUACCUUUCUAGCAUCUCUAUGAUCGUGGGAUCAAAAUUCAGACGUUUCGACAACUGACUCUUAUUUAUGACCGUUGCUGUGUCCCAAGGGUCAUGGGAUUCCCCCCCUCCUUUAUAUUGAUAUAUUGACCAUCAUUUGUGUUGUAAAUGUUGUUACCUUGAUGAAGGUAUUUUUUCUUUUA